RNAcentral lists this transfer RNA (80 nucleotides) under Sphaerodactylus townsendi. RNAcentral's name for it is "tRNA-Ala". The record is from RNAcentral. Lineage: Eukaryota; Metazoa; Chordata; Lepidosauria; Squamata; Sphaerodactylidae.
GCAAGUGUGAAACUAUGGCUCAGUGGUAAAACAUUUGCUUUGCAUGCAGAAGGUCCCAGGUUCAAUUCUCAGCAUUUCCA